CAAUUAAAGAGUGAAGAUAAAAAAGAAAGAAAGUGGUAGGUAUACACAUAUACACACACAUACACAGCUCAAACUUCCAGGCAUUGUCCAUGAGUUCAUGAUGCAUUACAAGGAGAGGUGACUCUUUCUGCUUUCCUUUCUGUUGCUGUCAGACAGUACUAGGUUAUCGAAUAUUGGCUAUUUGGAUUUUGGAGGCUCAGUGGAGCGGCUGAGUGUUAGGUCCUUUAUAUGCUGACUUCACAGAUCUAUGAAUAUUCCUUUUCAACAGGAAUGCUGCAAGAGAAAUGGUGUCUUUUCAGUUUCUUAAUAUAUAUUCAAACAUCACUUUAUCCAAAUCUUGAGCCAAUAAAGACACACACACAUAAUGCAGAGAGUAAGAGAGAGAAAUUAAUAUUUGGAUUUUAGUUCGCCAUCUCAUGUUUCUCUUGUCAUUGUAUUGUAACAGAUGUUCAGCUUCUGUUAUUCAGAUCCACCCAUCAUACUUAAUCAUCUAUCAAAUCCUAUAACGCUUAUAUGCACUUUUACCAGAAGAUAUACAUAUAUAUAUAUAUAUAAAGGUCUUCAGCCUUCAGUUUUGGUGGUGCCAAAUUAUACCAUGGUAGGUGUAUAGUGAGAGGAUUUUGAAUUGUUACCUUGAUAAACUAGUGCUUUUAAUUACUGAUUUUGUAGUUUUAUCGGAUGGGGGGUGGGGUUCUCGUGUUUAAAAUUAUGUCCUUGUUACGACAUUUAAUAUUAUAUGCUGGGAUUAGUGAAAUAUAUUAUAAAUAUGGACAUUCUUCCAAGUGGCUUGCAUAUGAGGAUCACUGAAAAUUGAAGCUGGCUUGGAACUUGGUUAUGUACAACCACGGACUUUGUCUUAGAUUCAUGUCAAAGUUUUGGCUUUAGCAUGCACAAAAAUCACUACAAUAUGAAGGGUUCAACCCUUGGUGAGUUAUCUCAACAGCAGAGAUAUUUCACCCCAUAGAUCCAUUACUAUUUACCCCUCUUGUUUUAUACAUUAUUGGUCAAAGAUCUAAGUAGUAGAAGGUUUUUUAUUUUGCAGAAUAAUAUAUUGUUGAAUAUUUAUGACAGUGAUAAUUCAGUCUA
Long non-coding RNA from Vigna radiata var. radiata (mung bean), 1086 nucleotides. RefSeq lists it as uncharacterized. The transcript is spliced from 2 exons. The record is from RefSeq and is a predicted model, not a curated record. Lineage: Eukaryota; Viridiplantae; Streptophyta; Magnoliopsida; Fabales; Fabaceae.